UGAUCAUAACCAACUAUCUCUCGCAACCCUAACCAGUAGGUUUCCACUCUGGCCCUGGAAGAGAAAAGAUGCAGUUUGCUUAAGAUUCGUCAACAUUCACAGCUCGCCCAUAGGUAGAUUUCCACUCCUAUGGUUGAUCUGCUCUUCUCAAACUAGAUCUGGCCCCGAAUGAAAACUUUCACAACACCAAAGACCUAGAUCAGAUUGUAGUUCAUGAC
This 218-nucleotide long non-coding RNA is filed under the name Eutrema salsugineum. Its description in RNAcentral is "long non-coding RNA (ESAL_LNC001815)". Lineage: Eukaryota; Viridiplantae; Streptophyta; Magnoliopsida; Brassicales; Brassicaceae. The record is from RNAcentral.